AUUGAACGCUGGCGGCAGGCCUAACACAUGCAAGUCGAGCGGAUGAAGGGAGCUUGCUCCUGGAUUCAGCGGCGGACGGGUGAGUAAUGCCUAGGAAUCUGCCUGGUAGUGGGGGAUAACGUCCGGAAACGGGCGCUAAUACCGCAUACGUCCUGAGGGAGAAAGUGGGGGAUCUUCGGACCUCACGCUAUCAGAUGAGCCUAGGUCGGAUUAGCUAGUUGGUGGGGUAAAGGCCUACCAAGGCGACGAUCCGUAACUGGUCUGAGAGGAUGAUCAGUCACACUGGAACUGAGACACGGUCCAGACUCCUACGGGAGGCAGCAGUGGGGAAUAUUGGACAAUGGGCGAAAGCCUGAUCCAGCCAUGCCGCGUGUGUGAAGAAGGCAUUCGGAUUGUAAAGCACUUUAAGUUGGGAGGAAGGGCAGUAAGUUAAUACCUUGCUGUUUUGACGUUACCAACAGAAUAAGCACCGGCUAACUUCGUG
Molecule: ribosomal RNA, 484 nt
Filed under: uncultured bacterium
Lineage: Bacteria
Description: partial 16S ribosomal RNA
Rfam family: Bacterial small subunit ribosomal RNA
Source: RNAcentral